RNAcentral lists this ribosomal RNA (440 nucleotides) under uncultured bacterium. Its description in RNAcentral is "partial 16S ribosomal RNA". It matches the Rfam family "Bacterial small subunit ribosomal RNA", at positions 338 to 795 of the family's 1533-position model. The record is from RNAcentral.
CCUACGGGUGGCAGCAGUGGGGGAUAUUGCACAAUGGGGGGAACCCUGAUGCAGCGACGCCGCGUGGGUGAAGAAGCGCCUCGGCGCGUAAAGCCCUGUCAGCAGGGAAGAAAAUGACGGUACCUGAAGAAGAAGCCCCGUCUAACGACGGGCAAGCAGCCGCGGUAAUACGUAGGGGGCAAGCGUUAUACGGAUUUACGGGGGGUAAAGGGGGCGCAGGCGGCGAAGCAAGCCAGGAGUGAAAGCCCGGGGCCCAACCCCGGGACUGCUCUUGGAACUGCGGGGCUGGAGUGCAGGAGGGGCGGGCGGAAUUCGUGGUGUAGCGGUGAAAUGCGUAGAUAUCAGGAAGAACGCCGGUGGCGAAGGCAGCCUGCUGGACUGCAACUGACGUUGAGGCCCGAAAGCGUGGGGAGCAAACAGGAUUAGAUACCCUGGUAGUC